AAACUCUGCUUUCUCUUCAGAUUGUAUAAACCAUUCACCUUUUACUAAAGAUUUCCAUGGAGAGGAACCGUAAUGAGGGGAUUUUUUUAGGGUUCUUUUUUUAAAAGCAU
Molecule: small nuclear RNA, 110 nt
Filed under: Vicugna pacos (alpaca)
Lineage: Eukaryota; Metazoa; Chordata; Mammalia; Artiodactyla; Camelidae
Description: U5 spliceosomal RNA (ENSVPAG00000017432.1)
Rfam family: U5 spliceosomal RNA
About the family: U5 RNA is a component of both types of known spliceosome. The precise function of this molecule is unknown, though it is known that the 5' loop is required for splice site selection and p220 binding, and that both the 3' stem-loop and the Sm site are important for Sm protein binding and cap methylation.
Source: Rfam by way of RNAcentral